Molecule: ribosomal RNA, 523 nt
Filed under: Uroplatus fangorn
Lineage: Eukaryota; Metazoa; Chordata; Lepidosauria; Squamata; Gekkonidae
Description: partial 16S ribosomal RNA
Rfam family: Bacterial large subunit ribosomal RNA
Source: RNAcentral
GUAUUAAAGGUCCUGCCUGCCCAGUGAACUAGUUUUAAACGGCCGCGGUAUCCUAACCGUGCAAAGGUAGCACAAUCACUUGUUCUUUAAUUAAGGACUAGUAUGAAUGGCCAUAUGAGGGCCAAACUGUCUCCUGUAGCCAAUCAAUGAACCUGAUCUCCCAGUGCAAAAGCUGGGAUACCUCCAUAAGACGAGAAGACCCUGUGGAGCUUAAAACGGACCCUAUAAUCUAUUAUACCCAACAGGUAUAACAUAAAGAUGAAAUAGGCAGGUUUUCAGUUGGGGCGACUAUGGGGUAAAACAAAACCCCCACGAAAUAAAUAUUGUUCUAAGUAAACACACCGAUGACAAACACAAUGACCCAGUAUUACUGAUCAACGAACCAAGUUACCCCAGGGAUAACAGCGCCAUCCCCUUUAAGAGUCCUUAUCAUCAGGGGGGUUUACGACCUCGAUGUUGGAUCAGGACAUCCAGGUGGUGUAGCCGCUACCAAGGGUUCGUUUGUUCAACGAUUAAUAGUCCU